GGGUAGAAUCAACGAAAGUCGGGGAGGUUGGGGUGGAUGUGAGUGGAGGAACCCAAGUCAUAGAAGGAGGGAGACGGAAAGGGUGCUGAAAGAUUAGAAAAGAAGCAAAAGGACGAUAGUGACGUUCUCUUCCGUGAGUGGGCACUGGGAGAAAGUGAGUAGGUCCGUCCGGCCUAGGCAGUCAAAGGUUGAGGGUAACUCUUUGGGACUGAGGACGUAUUUUGUGUGAACUAGGAGCCCACCACAGUUGAAAUCAUUUAGAUUGCUGGCUCAUUCCCUCUUCUUACUGGCCUUAGCCACCGCAGGUUCCCCAGCCCUGCCCAUCCUAGCUUUAACUCAGCCAUAAUUGCUUUGCUUAAGUCCCAGGAACUUGGCCAUUGCUCCCCAGCCCCUGACAUUAUGACAGGAUUCCCUUGUCACCCCUGCCAGCUCCUAGCUUCAGUCUUCACUGACUGGCUGGGGAGUGAUGGCAGGUAGCAUCAGAGCUCCUUCCUCCAGCCUCCAGGCAGCCCUGGGGAUGAAAAUGAAAGCAAAACCAACUCCAGGCUUGUCCUUGUAGCCAAAUAAUGUGCUGCCUAAGGGGUUGGUGCACUCAGGGGCUUCCAGAAAAAUGCCAGCCUUACCUUUCUGGGUGCCUUCUAAUGACCUCUAAGCACUUUAUGGACUGUGUUUGUCAAGAGUCAGGUGAAUCACAGGAUUCCUUCUGCCACAGAAGAAAAGGAAGUCACUGACUAGCUGGAUAACUUUGGGCAAGUUACUUCACCUCUCUGGGCCAGAUUUUCCUCCUUGAGAAACUGCAUUUGGAUUAGGUGAUCUCUUAGGCCCCUUCUUGCUCUGACAUUUUAUGAUCUGUGAGGGGCAGAGUGUGGAUUAGAAGCCACAUUCUCCAGCCUACAGUUGAAGGGCUUACAGUUCAGAACACACAGCACCCCAAGCGUGUGGUUGGGCCUGAGAACGGUUCUCCAGUUUUUGACACGUGUUCCAGAGCCCAGGAAGCAUCCAGUCUGCAGCAACCAGCCUGCAGCCUCAGGGUAUUCCAGGGCCUCUUUCAAACCACAGCUCAUCCUCUGCCCCUUGCUUUUGCUCUUGCCCCAACAGACUUCCAGCCUGGGUGCUAUGAGACAGCUUUGGGGAGGUGCCUCUCUAGGGGAAAAUGAUGCUUGGGAGCCCCCAAAAUGAAAGGAAACAAUGUUGGGGACUUUCUUGAGUAUAAAGGAUUAUAGGUAUAAGAAACGGAAAACAUUUCAAAUCAAGAAUCAGGGCACCUUGAAAAUUAAAUGGUACCAGAAGAUGGCAGUCUGCUCCAUACCUUGAGCAAGUGAAAUGGGGAAGCUGGGCUCUUCUACCCAUUCACAUUUAUGCCUUAUGUCUCUCCUGGUUAACCUCAGCUGGUUGUUUGUUUUUCCUCUCCUCUCACCCUAUGUCUAAGCUCUUUGCUUUUCUCUUUCCUUGUCCCCUUCUCAUCACUUUCAUUUUUCUUUUAGCAUAUACGGUAUUUACCUUCACUUUCUCUAUUUCCAUCUGCCUCCCUCUUCAUCCUUGUUGAUCUCUGCUAUUCCUUCUCCCUCCAGAAGGAGUGGAGAGCCUACUUCCUUUUCUCCAAGACCAUGGUUGAUCCACCUUCCUCCCUCAGGCUCCUUCUUGACAGUCUUCUAGAAGGGAGAAGAGGGAAAAGAAGCAGUUCCUGAUGCCGCAGAUGAACAAGGAGCUCCCAGCCUCCCCAACUGGCUUGGAGAAGGCAAAGCACCAAGGGUCCCAAGCUUCAUCUGCUAUUUCCAGGAGCUGGCUGCUGCCUCCAGUGCCAGUGUCCCGGCUCUGCAGGAUCAGCAAGGAACCACUGCGCCUGCGCCUGCUGGAGAACUUGGGAACCCAUCUGAACUCCAGCCUUGCCAUACAUUGGGAUUCUCUCCUGGCCCUAGCCAGUCCUCCACACUUGUUGGUAUGCUGUGCCCCUUCCUACUACCCCAACUAGCCUUGAGCAGGCCAGUUCCCUAAAGUUUCCACUAGAAGGGUCCCUGACUAGGACAAUUGCUGGAUGGUCUGUGCUUGGGCCCUCUCCGGGAACCUGAGUAUUACUAAGCAGAUAAAUGCAAAUGGUUGGGGGCAGGGAACCAAGAAGAGUUCAUUGUUCCUGAGCUUUUUCUCUAAGAAGUACCAUGGCUCACCUAUGCCCCUAUUCUCAGCUUUACAGAGCCAAGACAUGAGUCUUCUGGUUCUUCCCAUACAGAGCUGCCCCAGGGCCUGGGGGUAAGCUGCUAGUCUAAUCUGACAUGGGAAACACUAGGAAUUUGGCAGAAACUUCAGAGAUUUGUCAUGUGUUAGGCGUUGUGGUGGGGACUUUCCUCUAAAGCCUGAUGACUGUACGAAUGGGGGCAAUUUAGGGUAUAACCUGCUAGCCAUGGACUGGGAAGGGCCAUAAGAGAAACCAUUAUUACCAUGGUCAGGGGCUCGGGUCCUUGAAGCAACACAGCAGGAACACUCUUGCCCUUUCCUCUCAUCCAGACCUCAGAUAUCUUCCUAAGUAUUCUGACUGUUCCUUUGUUUUCUUUUAUGAAUAUAGCUUUUAUGAAUAUAUCAUUUCUCUUCACAAUAAGCCCUAACUCAACUUGCCAAUCUAAUCCCACAUUCCCUUGCUUCUAACUCCUGUGUUUCUCUGGAGCCCCUCUGGAUCCUUGCAAUCCUCAGGUCAUAGAAUCCAGAGACCUGAAAAGGCUUGUCUUUAGAGAUCACUGGGUCCAGACUCCUCUAGAGAUGAGGACACAGGUCCAGAGAUGAGAAGGGACCCCAGCAGGGUCAGAGAAUUUGUUAGUGCAACUCCAGAUGGGACUUAAACCCAGGCCUCCUGACCACCUCCCAUUCCCAGGCUAUGAAACAGGCCUCUCUCCACAGGGUCAGACCCACGAUUUUUCAUGACAAGGGACACGUCAGAAAUUUUCAUUUUCUGCUUCUAGUUUCCAUUCCCUUCCCCGUCCAGGCAGAAAGAGAAACAAAAGGGACUGGUAUGUCCCCAGCCUUGGCACUUCUUUCAGUGAUAUCGCUGAAGAACAGUGAAGUUGCUAAAACAAACAACAACAACAAAACAACAACAACUGAAUAAUCUACCCAUUGAAUAGCUAACCUGGAGAGGAAAUGAAAGUUUGCUAUGUGAAUCCCCCUCAAACCACCGACCUCAUCAGACCCUUCCCGAGCCUCCCCUCUUCACAGUGCAGCUCUGUACACUGGGCCCCAGACCCACUCGUAUUGUGCCUCAGUUCAGCCUCCUCAUGCAACUGCUCUCCCUUCUGGAUAAAAGACCUCGUAUUUGAAAUAAAGUUGAAAUAUGAAAAGAAA
Molecule: long non-coding RNA, 3330 nt
Organism: Balaenoptera ricei (Rice's whale)
Lineage: Eukaryota; Metazoa; Chordata; Mammalia; Artiodactyla; Balaenopteridae
Exons: 2
Source: RefSeq, a predicted model, not a curated record